This 497-nucleotide ribosomal RNA is filed under the name uncultured bacterium. RNAcentral describes it as "partial 16S ribosomal RNA". It matches the Rfam family "Bacterial small subunit ribosomal RNA", at positions 28 to 507 of the family's 1533-position model. The record is from RNAcentral.
GAUGAACGCUGGCGGCGUGCCUAAUACAUGCAAGUCGAGCGAACAGACGAGGAACUUGCUCCUCUGACGUUAGCGGCGGACGGGUGAGUAACACGUGGAUAACCUACCUAUAAGCCGGGGAUAACUUCGGGAAACCGGAGCUAAUACCGGAUAAUAUAUUGAACCACAUGGUUCAAUAGUGAAAGACGGUUUUGCUGUCACUUAUAGAGAGAUCCGGGCGUCUUUACCUAGUUGUUAAGGUAACGCCUUACCAAGGCAAGGAACCGUAGCCGACCGGAGAGGGGGAUCGGCCACAUUGGAACUGAGAAACGGUCCAGAUUCCUACGGGAGGAAGCAGAAGGGAAUCUCCGGCAAUGGCCGAAGGCCUAACGGAGCACCGCCGCGUGGGUGAUGAAGGUCUUCGGUUCGUAAACUCCUGUGAUUAGGGAAGAACAAAUGUGUAAGUAAAUAUGCACGUAUUGACGGUACCUAAUCAGAAAGCCACGGCUAACUACGUG